UGCGGCCGGCGCUGGGGUGGAGAGUUGUGCGCCGGUCCCUGGGCCUGAGCUCGGGCUCGGGCUCGGGCGCCUGCGAUGUCUCAAGAUGGCGGAGCUGGGCGAAUUAAAGCACAUGGUGAUGAGCUUCCGGGUGUCUGAGCUUCAGGUGCUGCUCGGCUUUGCUGGCCGGAACAAGAGUGGACGGAAGCACGAGCUCCUGGCCAAGGCCCUGCACCUCCUCAAGUCCAGCUGUGCCCCCAGUGUCCAGAUGAAGAUCAAGGAGCUUUACCGCCGGCGCUUUCCCCGGAAGACCCUGGGGCCCUCUGAUCUCUCCCUGCUCUCUCUGCCCCCUGGCACCCCUCCUGUCGGCUCCCCUGGUCCUCUGGCUCCCAUUCCCCCAGCCCUCUUGGCCCCUGGCACCCUGCUGGGCCCCAAGCGUGAAGUGGACAUGCACCCCCCUCUGCCCCAGCCCGUGCACCCUGAUGUCACCAUGAAACCAUUGCCCUUCUAUGAAGUCUAUGGGGAGCUCAUCCGGCCCACCACCCUCGCGUCCACUUCUAGCCAGCGUUUUGAAGAGGCGCACUUUACCUUUGCCCUCACACCCCAGCAAGUGCAGCAGAUUCUCACAUCCAGAGAGGUUCUACCAGGAGCCAAAUGUGACUAUACUAUACAAGUGCAGCUAAGGUUCUGUCUCUGUGAGACCAGCUGCCCCCAGGAGGAUUAUUUUCCCCCCAACCUCUUCGUCAAGGUCAAUGGGAAACUAUGCCCCCUGCCGGGUUACCUUCCCCCUACCAAGAAUGGGGCUGAGCCCAAGAGGCCUAGCCGCCCCAUCAACAUCACACCUCUAGCUCGUCUCUCGGCCACUGUUCCCAACACCAUCGUGGUCAACUGGUCAUCUGAGUUUGGACGGAACUACUCCUUGUCUGUGUACCUGGUGAGACAGUUGACUGCAGGGACCCUUCUACAAAAACUCAGAGCAAAGGGUAUCCGGAACCCAGACCACUCUCGGGCACUGAUCAAGGAGAAAUUGACCGCUGACCCGGACAGUGAGGUGGCCACUACAAGUCUCCGGGUGUCACUCAUGUGCCCGCUAGGGAAGAUGCGCCUGACAGUCCCUUGUCGUGCCCUCACCUGUGCCCACCUGCAGAGCUUCGAUGCUGCCCUUUAUCUACAGAUGAAUGAGAAGAAGCCAACAUGGACAUGUCCUGUGUGUGACAAGAAGGCUCCCUAUGAAUCUCUUAUCAUUGAUGGCUUGUUCAUGGAGAUACUUAAUUCCUGUUCGGAUUGUGAUGAGAUCCAGUUCAUGGAAGAUGGAUCCUGGUGCCCAAUGAAACCCAAGAAGGAGGCAUCUGAGGUUUGCCCCCCGCCAGGGUAUGGGCUGGAUGGCCUCCAGUACAGCCCAGUCCAAGAGGGCAAUCCAUCAGAGAAUAAGAAGAAGGUUGAAGUUAUUGACUUGACAAUAGAGAGUUCAUCGGAUGAGGAGGACCUGCCCCCGACCAAAAAGCACUGUCCUGUCACCUCAGCUGCCAUCCCGGCUCUACCUGGAAGCAAAGGAGUCCUGACAUCUGGUCACCAGCCAUCUUCGGUGCUGCGGAGCCCUGCUAUGGGCACGCUGGGCGGGGAUUUCCUGUCCAGUCUCCCGCUACAUGAGUAUCCACCUGCUUUCCCACUGGGGGCCGAUAUCCAAGGUUUAGAUUUAUUUUCUUUCCUCCAGACUGACAGUCAGGAGAGUGAUUCAGACUGGAUGAUUUCUCAACUCACAUGUCACCUUCCGCCAGCCACGGGCCGUGUACUAUAUAAGCACCCCUCUGCAGCACUCCACGCCUAUCGGCUCUAGUAGGUAUCACCUGGAAUUGAUUACGUCUCUUCGCCAGACACCCAGGAAACAUUCUUGACCCCUCCCUUGUCUUUCUUCUCACUCAGAUGGCAACUCAGUGCGGCAGAUUCUACCUCCUUAAACUUUCUCGCAUGUCUCUAGCCUCCACUGUUCCUAGUCCUAGCCUUCCUCAUAUUCUGCCUGAGAUAUCAUUGCAAGUCUCCAUAUAGUCCUUCCCCUACCAGUUCAUUCCCUAGGGUUCUUCCAGAGUGAUCUUUCUCAAACACAAAUCUCAUCAUCUUGCUUCCCACUGCUCAGGAGAAGAUAAGCUACUAAUAAGCAGAGUAUAGUGAGGACGCCCGCCCACCCUUGCUCCUGCCGGCUGUCUAGCCGCAGUGCUGGCAGGACUUAAGCCCUAUUUUCUAGUCACAUCCUAUUUGCAGUUCUUCCUGGAACCAGGCUCUGCUUCCUUCUGGGAUCCCUUUCCCCUUGCACCUGGCAAAUCCUCAUCUUUCAAAAGACAGAUUGUCACUUUCUCUGCACUCCCUUUCCUGCCUGACCCUUCUCCCUCUUGCCUCUCUGUAUAUAAUACUUUUUUGCUACAGCCCCCAAGUAUUUCCUUGUAUUUAUUUGUCUCCUCCCACUAGGCUAUGUGUGCAAGGCUUAUUCAUCUUUGUAUCCCUAAAGCCUAGCCCAGUCCUGGGCACAUUAACAGAUGCUCAGUAAAGAAUGAGAGAAUGGACAUUGGCAAGAGGAAACCGAAGAGAUUAUAACAGCACCUACCUGCUUUAAAUGAACUGAAGCUGCUGGGACAAAUUACAUCAUGCCACUGAAAGAGAAAACUUAGAAUUGCUGCUUUUAAGAAACCACGGAAAAGAGGAAGGCAAUGAUUUCUUGAGUGCUUACCAUAUGCCAGGCAUUGUGCUAAGUGGCUUACAUCCACAGUUUCAGAUGUGCUAGAAGCCUGGAGCUGGCAAAUGUCUUCUAGCCAUAGAUUCUAGUGUGAAUGCUGGGGCCAGUCCACCUGCUAGUCCUGAAAAUAGCUUUUAUUCCCCUCUGUGUGGUUGUCUUUCACAUUCCCUACACUGUGUGUGUGUGUUUGUGUGAGAGAGAGAGAGAGAUUACAACUUAACAAAAUAAAGAACAGGUAUAGCCUUUUGAGAAUACAAUCUGCUUAGGAAGAAAUUUCUUCCACUGACACGGAUAUUCAAACACAGGCCUGGCUGACUUCUUAGUGGGAAAUGAUACAUCUGAUAGAUGAUUAAUCUGGUUGAUUUAAGGUCCUUUCUUCCCCCACUGAGAUCUGAUGAGGGGAGAAUACAGUGAUGGGGAUAAGACGGGAUCAGCAAACCUUAAAAAACAUGUCAGGGCACCUGGGUGGCUCAGUCGGUUAAGCGUCUGCCUUCAGCUCAGGUCAUGAUCCCAG
Leptonychotes weddellii (Weddell seal) is the source of this 3221-nucleotide non-coding RNA. NCBI's taxonomy places the organism in Eukaryota, Metazoa, Chordata, Mammalia, Carnivora, Phocidae. The record is from RefSeq and is a predicted model, not a curated record.